Molecule: long non-coding RNA, 1283 nt
Organism: Betta splendens (Siamese fighting fish)
Lineage: Eukaryota; Metazoa; Chordata; Actinopteri; Anabantiformes; Osphronemidae
Exons: 3
Source: RefSeq, a predicted model, not a curated record
GCGCUGCCACACAGGUCCUCAUGUCCGAGCGGAGCUGGUGGUCCGAUUAUCGCCGCGCGCUCCUCUCAGGUGUUUCGAUUACAGCUCGAGCGUCGGGCAGCGCGAGCCCCGCCCACCGGCGCAAGAACAACGUCACGCAGAUUUCAAAAUAAAGUCCACCUGGGCGUCUGUUCAACCGAAUGUAAACGGAAAAAAGGGGUCGCCACAGCGAACGAUUCAAAUCCUUCCUGACGCGACUUUGACCCACGACCUGUGCGACAAGAGCGGAGCGCUAACCACUGCGCCACCUCCAUUUGGCAUAUCGACAGUAAAUGUUAAUGAAAGAGAGAGGAGAUAAGGAAAGAGACAACGUGCGGCAGAGACGGAAACACCACAACAAACGAGAUCAAAUGUUAGAAGAACAGUUUAAUCAUACAUAGUCACAAUUCUGCUUCCAAAAGAGUUUGUUUUCUUCAUCUAACAUCUGGAAAUGUACAUAAGGCCACCUGAAAAUGUACAUGACUUUGACAGUGUGACAAAACUCAUAUGUUCAUAUUUAUAUAAUUGACAAUAUUUUACACUGGUUUUGCUUACAAGGUAGGAGCUGUUCAAAAAUACAGCACUCUUCUGUACAAAAAUAAUUCUGGUCAUAUCCUGUGAAGUUUCCAUGGUAGCAGAGGACUAAAUGCAGCCUCAGUUUUAGUACAGAGUGUUUUCUCCUUUUUAAACUGUCACACAUCAGAAAGACUAUCAACAGUGGAUGGUACAGCUCCAGUACAAAUAGAGGCUGGCCUUUCCCAUAACAGAUUAAAAACAAAAACCAUGCCAGAUUGUGAAGCCAUAAAGUUUUUCUUCUUUAAAAUAACACUUGAUCAAAUAAAACUGUAUACAUUAUAUUCAAGGGGAAAGGAGUGAUGAAUAUACACACACAUCAAAAUGCACAUUUGCCUUUUUCUCCCCAUAAAGUGUAAAAGACAUCCCAUUUACAGCAUUAACGUUUACAAAUGUACAACUGUACAGACGAAAUAAAAGCAUCACUACAAAUUUAGAGCAAGGCCUGUCAAAACACCACAACUAGACAUUUUAUCCAAUUAAACUAACAGUCUUACACUUAGUAAAUGCACAUAUACUACAUGUAUUCUACAAUUAUUCAUAUGAAGCAAAGAAGCGAUCUCUACAAGCGUUACAGGUGAAUGUUCUAGCGUCUGAUGUCCCCACCGGCCUCCGCCAAAUGAAAAAACAAAAUUUCAUUUUUAAAAUCAAACACAAAAAGGAACCAUUAAAAAAAAAAAAAAAAAAAAAAA